This 806-nucleotide ribosomal RNA is filed under the name Hepatozoon sp. RNAcentral's name for it is "SSU rRNA". It matches the Rfam family "Eukaryotic small subunit ribosomal RNA", at positions 164 to 955 of the family's 1831-position model. The record is from RNAcentral. Lineage: Eukaryota; Apicomplexa; Hepatozoidae.
CUAAUACAUGAGCACAUUCUCAACUGUUUUAGAAGAGAAGCAUUUAUUAGAUAAAAAACCAAUAUAUGUUUUUAAAACAUAAAAGUCGGUGAUUUACAAUAACUAAGCAAAUCGCACAGUGCAAACUGGCGAUAAAUCAUUCAAGUUUCUGACCUAUCAGCUUUCGACGGUAAGGUAUUGGCUUACCGUGGCAGUGACGGUUAACGGGGAAUUAGGGUUCAAUUCCGGAGAGGGAGCCUGAGAAACGGCUACCACAUCUAAGGAAGGCAGCAGGCGCGCAAAUUACCCAAUUCUAAUAGCAUAAGAGAGGUAGUGACAAGAAAUAACAGUACAAGGCAGUUUAAAUGCUUUGUAAUUGGAAUGAUAGAAAUUUAAAUACUUUUUAAAGUAUCAAUUGGAGGGCAAGUCUGGUGCCAGCAGCCGCGGUAAUUCCAGCUCCAAUAGCGUAUAUUAAAAUUGUUGCAGUUAAAAAGCUCGUAGUUGAAUUUUUGCUAAAAAUAACCGGUCUGCUUUUAUUAAUAAAGGUGGUAUCUUGGUGUGGUUUUAGCAAUAAUGUCCUUUGAAAUGUUUUUUACUUUAUUGUAAAAAACAAUUUUCAGGAUUUUUACUUUGAGAAAAUUAGAGUGUUUCAAGCAGGCUAACGUUUUGAAUACUGCAGCAUGGAAUAAUAAAAUAGGAUUUUAGUUCUACGUUAUUGGUUUUAAGAGCUAAAUUAAUGAUUGAUAGGAGCAGUUGGGGGCAUUUGUAUUUAACUGUCAGAGGUGAAAUUCUUAGAUUUGUUAAAGACACACUACUGCGAAAGCAUU